ACAUGCUUACAACAUAGCGUUUAUGCAUCGGAUCCCAUUCAAACUCCAUAUUUAAGAGCGCUCGGGCUAGAGUAGUACUAGGAUGGGUGACCGCUCUGGAAGUCCUAGUAUUUUACAUGCC
Molecule: non-coding RNA, 121 nt
Organism: Picea glauca (white spruce)
Lineage: Eukaryota; Viridiplantae; Streptophyta; Pinopsida; Pinales; Pinaceae
Source: Rfam